UUGAACGGAGAGUUUGAUCCUGGCUCAGGAUGAACGCUGGCGGCGUGCUUAACACAUGCAAGUCGAACGAUGAUCCGGUGCUUGCGCCGGGGAUUAGUGGCGAACGGGUGAGUAACACGUGAGUAACCUGCCCUUGACUCUGGGAUAAGCCUGGGAAACUGGGUCUAAUACCGGAUAUGACUCCUCAUCGCAUGGUGGGGGGUG
This 204-nucleotide ribosomal RNA is filed under the name [Arthrobacter] sp. ATCC 21022. Its description in RNAcentral is "Arthrobacter sp. ATCC 21022 partial 16S ribosomal RNA". It matches the Rfam family "Bacterial small subunit ribosomal RNA", at positions 1 to 202 of the family's 1533-position model. The record is from RNAcentral. Lineage: Bacteria; Bacillati; Actinomycetota; Actinomycetes; Micrococcales; Micrococcaceae.